RNAcentral lists this long non-coding RNA (410 nucleotides) under Lathyrus oleraceus (garden pea). Its description in RNAcentral is "Pisum sativum (pea) long non-coding RNA (PSAT_LNC031434)". Lineage: Eukaryota; Viridiplantae; Streptophyta; Magnoliopsida; Fabales; Fabaceae. The record is from RNAcentral.
GGUCUGGAUACCGGAAACUGGCCUGAAUGCCACAAGUUGCAUCGACCUGAACGUCGGAAACUUCUUCGAUCUGAACAUCGGAACACUGGCAUGAAUGCCACUUCGGUCUGGAUACCGGAAAACUGGCCUGAACGCCACUUCGGUCUGGAUACCGGAAAACUUCAUGCCUGUCAGCAUCGGCAGAAAUAGGGAAUGAUAAUAGAGGCGGCGCAUGGGCCAAUGACACAAAGUUAAGUCAUGAACAAUCUUCAGUCUGAGUACUGGAAACAACUUCUAGCUUAUCACCUGGGAUACCGAGAAUGUUUUAUGUUUACAUGCAUAUGUUUGAAUUUUUCAAUGGCGUAAUGCUCCAUGAAAAUGGAAAUGCUACGCGAUUUGGAAGGAUGCAAUGCAAUAUGAUUCUACAUGCA